GGACCCGCACAAGCGGUGGAUGAUGUGGUUUAAUUCGAUGCAACGCGAAAAACCUUACCCACCUUUGACAUGUACGGAAUCCUUCAGAGAUGGAGGAGUGCCCGAAAGGGAGCCGUAACACAGGUGCUGCAUGGCUGUCGUCAGCUCGUGUCGUGAGAUGUUGGGUUAAGUCCCGCAACGAGCGCAACCCUUGUCAUUAGUUGCUACAUUCAGUUGGGCACUCUAAUGAGACUGCCGGUGACAAACCGGAGGAAGGUGGGGAUGACGUCAAGUCCUCAUGGCCCUUAUAGGUGGGGCUACACACGUCAUACAAUGGCCGGUACAAAGGGCUGCCAACCCGCGAGGGGGAGCCAAUCCCAUAAAACCGGUCGUAGUCCGGAUCGUAGUCUGCAACUCGACUACGUGAAGUCGGAAUCGCUAGUAAUCGUGGAUCAGAAUGUCACGGUGAAUACGUUCCCGGGUCUU
RNAcentral lists this ribosomal RNA (465 nucleotides) under uncultured bacterium. Its description in RNAcentral is "bacterial SSU rRNA". It matches the Rfam family "Bacterial small subunit ribosomal RNA", at positions 917 to 1382 of the family's 1533-position model. The record is from RNAcentral.